GUGAAAGACAAAAGUUUAAGACAAAACUAAAGGAUUUCUAAUUCAAGGACAGCAAGAGGUCAUUAGAAAAGUGAAUGAGACCAACCACUUUAUUGUCCUUAUAACAAUUAUGGAUUUUCUAAUGUUAGGCAACUAGGUGGUUGUAGAAUUUCUACAUUAAUAGAACAUCACUAUGCAAUAAUGAUCAUGGCUUCUAUUUUCCCCCAACAAGAUUGUCAUUGAAAUAAUGAAAGCUUAUGAAAGAAUAGAAAGGAAAUUUUAUAGAAGAAGAAAAUAGGACCCAUGACAGAGCACUGGGGGAUUUCCAUGGUUAAUGGGUAUGAUAGAGGUGAAGAUCGAGCAAAGGAGACAGAAAAAAAGUUCAGACAUGCAGAAGAACUGGAAGAGAGCUGUUUCAUGAAAACCUAUAGAGAAGAGAGCAUCCAGGAGGAGAGUAAUUGACAAUUUUAAAGGCUAUAGAGAGGUCAAGAGAAUUGAAGAUCAAGAAAAGGCUGUGAGAUUUGCCAAUUAAGAUAUCAUCCCUAGCUUUGGAGAGAGCAGUUUUAUUUGAAUAAUGAGGUCAGAAGUUAGAGCAAAGGGAGUUAAGAAGAAAGGAAAGAAAAUAUUGGCACCUGUUAAAGAUGAUUUUUUCAAACGAGUUUAUUAAGAAAUAGAAGAAGAGGUAGAUAAAGCAAUGAAAAGCACAUAUUCUCUCCUUUUAUCUCUCUCUUUCCACCUUCUGGAGAUGGCAAGUAAUAUGAUAUACAUAAGUGAUGGUGAAUCUUUUAGAAAGGUGGGAGAUGUCCUCAGGUGCACAUGGAGAAGAGGAGGGCAGCAGCCUAUGCUCAGAAGACCUGACGUGGGCAAAACAUUGUAAAAACAUAGAGGAAAGUGAAAGGAAGUGGAUUAAAUAAUUUACAAUUUAUUUCCUUAAAGAGUAAUUAUUGAGCCUGGGACAAAUAGCACAAAAGCUAUUCAAAAAAAUCAGCACCUUAGCUAACUAAUGGCAGAGUGUAGAUGAAAGAACUCACUCAUGGUAAUCAAUUCUUAAAGACGGUUUCCAAAAUAAAAGCAUAAAAAUGGAACCUUUUAGUUUUAAC
RNAcentral lists this long non-coding RNA (1079 nucleotides) under Monodelphis domestica (gray short-tailed opossum). RNAcentral's name for it is "lncRNA (ENSMODG00000045364.1)". The record is from RNAcentral. Lineage: Eukaryota; Metazoa; Chordata; Mammalia; Didelphimorphia; Didelphidae.